UCUGGAUCCUUAGCAAAACAGGCACUUCUGGGCGGUGACGUGUGACCACAGAUGCAUGGGGGAACAUUCUUGUACCCGGAACUCCAGUUUAAACCACUCGGUUUCCAUAAGCAUGGCCCUGCUCUCUGAGCUGCCGGGUCUUCUCUGGUCCCUGGUCCCAGCCCUCUGGCUCACUCUUCUUGGUCACUGCUCUGCAAGUUUAAACCAUGACUUUGGGAACUUACAUGGCAUCCAGAUAUAAAUUCAUGGUCUGCAGAGCCAGGACAAGUGUGGGUGGGCUUCAUUCUGGGAUUACCCCUUCGUCAUGAAGACAGGAAGGAGCGGAGUUUGAGCCUCUCUCUGUCUUUCACAAACUGUCGUUUAACCUUUCUGAGUCCUGGCUGCAGCUGCCUUCUCUGUCCCUACUUCACGGAGCUGCUAGAAAUAUGGACACCUGUGUAAGGUGUCACCCCUGUACAGUCGGUGCUCAGCACAUGUUAACAGGCUGUUUGACAUCCUGGUGGGCUAAGUAGAUCUUGUCACUGGACCCUGCAGGGCAGACCCACGGGGCCACCACAGCCUGUCCACCUCUAACUCGGGACACUGGACAGGGUUGAACUGGGAAAGGGCAGUGUGUGCCAGUGGCCACGAGGGGGAGUUAAAACUGACUAUUUAGAAUAAUUUGAGAAGGUCCCUGCACUACCAGCAGGUGGCGGCUCCUGUCCUAAACCCUUCCUCUCUUUCCAUUGCUCUCCACCAAGACUCCAAGACAAACUCCAACUAGAGUUAGGUCUCAGCCAAUUCUUAACAUCUUUGUGCCUCAGUCCUCUCAUCUGUAAGGUGCAGAUAAAAACGGCACUAUUUCCCCAAAGUUGCAAGCAAAGACAGAAGUGAGUUAAUAGGCAGACUGCUUACAAAGGUUCCUAGCGUGAAAUGCAUGUUAAUUAUUAAUUUAGAAAGAAUUUUUACUUUAAAGAAUCACUUGAGGCUCUUACUGAAAAUAAAGAUUUCUAGACACUUCCCCCUGGAGACUUUGAUUUUGGGGUGCUUGGGAGAGAUUUGAGGAUCCAUAUUUUUAAGAAGUACUCCAUGUUACUCUGUGACAGACGUGUGUAGCAAUGCUAGGUUACCGCACUACCACUCCUGAAGCCAAUGGAAAUUCACAUCCUCAGAAAGUCAGUCUGUUUCUUCACGUGAAAUGAUCUUUCCCUCGUGAGUAUCCAUGUAUUGUGUCUGUAUUUUGCUUGUCAGCUUUUGUCUCAGAGUUAUUUGUCAGCCUAUCUACAAAAGGCCUGGCACCCUUCCAGGCCCUCAUUUAUAUCUGGUGAUAUCUGACAUGGGCAACACAUCCCCAAAAAGUUGCUUUUAAACUUAAAAUAUUGUAAUCAAACAAGCAGCCAUUACCUGCAGUGCCUUCGGGAAUGGUUAAUAACAUCUAAGCUGUGGUGAUAAUGGCUGUGGCAUUUCUAGAGAUAACCUAGUCAAUACUGCUUCAGAUAGGUUCAUUGCUCUUCAAAUAUAUUUAGUAUUUGAAAACUGUUUCUGUGACCCACCUCCUAUGAUGGAAGGAUCAUCCUAAAAUAAACAUGGUUCUGUUCUGCAGAUUUCACAGUAAUCAAGACUCUGGUUUGAAAGGCAGAAGCUACCACCCACAGACCUAGGACUAGGCCAUGGGCCAAGACAGGCUGAGGCCAUGUGUGCUUAAUAAACAGACAGUAAGCCCCUAACUGGUAAAUGGGUACCUACUCUCCUCAAAGCUACCUGUCCCGCGGGAUUGCUGCUAUCCUCAGUGCUCUGGACCUCGGUCAGGCCUCACUGGUGGCAGCCAGAAGGAAUGACACUGUCUGGGCACUCAGUGCCCAAGCCCUCUGCUCUUAGUGUCACAGCAGCCAGUUAGAUGUUCUUUGAUAAACUUUGCAAGCAGGAGAAGAAGGGUGAGAUCAGCCACCAUUAACUCAGGCUAAACUUCAAGCCCCUUUUUAGUGCCCGGGUCCCACCGCCCCUUGGUAUGCCCCAGACACUUUCACAAGGACAAGCACAGGUCCAAAUAAGGGCCAGGAAAGAUCCCUGUCUCGGAGCCACACUGUCUUACAAGUUCAGAGGCUGGGAAGGCUGAAGGGAUGCGCAUUCUUCACAUCUGAGGCAGCUGAAUGGCAGGCUGGGGCCCUGGAACACCCUCUGCACUUUCCCGUGUCACAGGAAUCACUCUUCAUCACCUCAGCAAGGAGAAGAGCAGACCGUGCUGCGCAGCAUCAAACUUUCCCUCUCGGAGGCCACCUCUCAGAAAGGUUCGGCUGGGAGGGACGCCUUGCCAACUCCCGAUUCCAAGCUAAGUAUGGUAUUCUGCCCACGGGUACGACUGCCUGGCCUCACCCAGCCUCAGCGGCCUUCCGUCCCCUCUCACGAACUUGCUCAAGGCUUGGCUUCUCCACACAUUCUCACAGUGCCCACUCUACCUGUUCCAGCCCGCAGGGAUCUAGGGAGGCUCUGAAGUACGGGGCCACAGACACCGGCUACAUAUUCCUCAAAGCGGAAAGGACGGAAAGUUUGAAUUUGAUUCUAAGACACAAAUGAAGAUUUUUCUCCAAGUCUUUGAUGAUUGGACAGAACUAUAGAAUUUCAUAGGCAGGAGGGGAGACCUGAAAUUAAUGACUUGAAUCCAAUAACUUCUUUUUACUGGUAGGAUUUAGGAAUUAAAACUCACAUCUCAAUCAGAGCCAAGCUUGAGGCCAAGGCUCCUGAGUCCUGGAAAGGAUCAGUCCCAUGACACUGAGUUGGAUGCUGAAAUGUUCACCGUGCACUUUUAAGUGGAAAAAUUACCACCAUACAGAAAAAAGUCAAGGUGUUGUGCCAUGAGCCUCUCAUUUCAGAGCACUGUGCCCCUCUAGCACUGUUCCUAUAAUCCCCGAAGCGUCUAGGAGGGGAGUUUAAUGACCUCUCUUAUGGAUAAUAAAGAUUGGCACAGCUGAGUAACUUAGUCCAGGUCAAUAACAAGUAAGAGGCAGAGACAGGACUUCAGGAAGGUCUCAGGUCUAACUGACCUCUGUGCUCUUAACCACCCUGCCCAUCCUAAGGAACACAUCCUGGAAGGCAUAUGCCCAGAUGUCCUGCAGCGAGCGGGGGAACAGGCUGCUACCCACAUGAGCCGUGUCUUUCCUGGGGAAGAGCGCUCAGAUGCCCAUGGACUCUCCUAAAGGACCGAGACCCGGAGUUCAGGACGAGCAAUAUGAGAGGCCUGAAGGCAAUUCUGCAGCAGCACUGGGGUGUGCAAAUGUGCACACUCUUUAACCUAGCAUCGCUCACUCCUGGGAAUGUAAACUGCGGCUAUAGGCAGGAGUGAAGAGAUGGGCGUCCAGUGGUACAAACAGUGCUUGUUUGCAAAAGCCAAAGCCUGGAAAUCGCCUGAUCACUUAUUCAAAGCAAAUGGCUUCUACACCGUGUGAUGUAUUGAUUCUGUGCAGCUAGGAGAGCACAAGACGGGCUACCACCGCAGCUUGCUGAAUAAUGAAAUGUGAAGUAGCACCAUCAAUUACCUCCCUGGUUAAAGGCAGGAACAUAGGACUCUGUGUCAUAUACACUUGUAUUUUCAGGAAGAGACUUAGGUCUCUACACUACAGACGAAGCAAAAAAAUUGUUUAUCUCUAGUAGUGCUGUGGGAUAGGAACAGGAAUCAGACUUUUUUCACAGUGUAUUUUCUAAGAAUUUUUUAUGUGAUUGUAUGUAUUCAAAAAAUUCAGGUACAAAGCAGGAAACUUGUAAAAACUCCAGGUACUAUGGGA
Cavia porcellus (domestic guinea pig) is the source of this 3758-nucleotide long non-coding RNA. RefSeq lists it as uncharacterized. The transcript has 2 exons. NCBI's taxonomy places the organism in Eukaryota, Metazoa, Chordata, Mammalia, Rodentia, Caviidae. The record is from RefSeq and is a predicted model, not a curated record.